UAAGGAAUAUUGGUCAAUGGACGGAAGUCUGAACCAGCCAUGCCGCGUGCAGGAUGACGGCCCUAUGGGUUGUAAACUUCUUUUAUAGGGGAAGAAAGAUACUUUUUUUAAGGUAGUUGACGGUACCCUAUGAAUAAGCACCGGCUAACUCCGUGCCAGCAGCCGCGGUAAUACGGAGGGUGCAAGCGUUAUCCGGAUUUCCUGGGUUUAAAGGGUGCGUAGGCGGGCAUGUAAGUCAGUGGUGAAAUACCGGAGCUUAACUUCGGAACUGCCAUUGAUACUAUAUGUCUUGAAUAUUGUAGAGGUAAGCGGAAUAUGUCAUGUAGCGGUGAAAUGCAUAGAUAUGACAUAGAACACCGAUUGCGGAGGCAGCUUGCUACGCAAAUAUUGACGCUGAGGCACGAAAGCGUGGGGAUCAAACA
RNAcentral lists this ribosomal RNA (422 nucleotides) under uncultured bacterium. RNAcentral's name for it is "bacterial SSU rRNA". It matches the Rfam family "Bacterial small subunit ribosomal RNA", at positions 355 to 774 of the family's 1533-position model. The record is from RNAcentral.